UCCGAGAGCCGCACGUCCAGCGCCCGCGGGGUUGGCGGCCGGCUGGGCCAGAGCCGCGGUCUGGGCUGUAGGACCCCAGCGCGGCCUCGCAACUUAGCUGGCCUCGCUGCCGCCCUUCCGCCUUGGGCCCAGUCUGAGCUCCGGCACCUUCCAGGCCGGCGCCGAGCCGAGGCGGGAACGCGGCCGUUUUGUUGAGCGUGACGUAACUUUCUGUGAGGAACUGUGGAGUGUGCCGCCUCGAGGCGCUCACCUUUCACUCUACCACAAGCAAGACCUUUCAAAAUGCUUGGCAAAGAAACAAGACUCAAGAACGCUGUUGUGGAAUUGACAUGCCCUGCUGUAGCCAUCUACUCACUAAUGGACCACCCAUUACCAUCUGGGCCUUGGGCUCCUUUGAUAUGAUCCCUGCUCAUUCAGACAUCUUUACAUGCUGCUUCUGGGACUUUCCUGAGUCACCUGCCCUACCUCAGUAGGUGUAUCUAGUCUGUGACUCCCAGCUCUUCCUGAAUCAACCCUUCCACUGCAACUUUAUGACUGUUUGGGCCGAUGAACAAUAAACUCUUUUUUUUUGGUGCUUGGUCAAGAAGAAUUGAGAACAGAGAACGAGGAGACAGACGGAGGGGCUCUCUUCCUCUGUGCUGUUGACAGUGAGGGUGUCCCAUCCUCCCCCCAAAAGAUAAAUCACACACAAAAAUAUUUGAAAGAACCUACCCCAUGUCUUCAAUAAUUUUAGGGUUAUCUUCUUGGGAGCUUUCUGGAGAUGCAUUUCCAUUUGCAAGGCAUCUUUGUGUAUCAGAGAAAAAAACUAAUUUUGGCUUACCCAUCUGUGGGUAAUAAACAGGAACUAUGUGAUACAUUGUUUCAAAGUUACCUGUAACAUACAAAGAAUUAAAAGCAUUCUGCUAUGAAACUAAUAACUAAAUUGCAAACAUGGCAUAGAAAAGCAUUAGACUAUCUAAAAUUACGUUUUAUGAAAUGGAAUUCGAUGAGGUUAUAUAGAUCCACAGCAAAACUAAUAAAAAAUUAAUAUCCAAGAUAAAAAUAUCACAGACUUUCAUACAUGAGAACCUACACAGCAAAAUUUAUGGUCAACUCUCAGAGACAAAAUGGGUAUACCAACAUUAAUAUAAAUAUUAACUGCCCUUGCAUUUUGCUGUUAUGAGUUUAUUUUUUCAGUGUGUUUAACCUCUAGGGAGUAGAUUAGUCAAUUAUAGUUUUUGUAAUAUGUUCAUACCUUUAUUUCCAAACUUAACAUUCCACAUCAUUUCCCUGUUUAAAGAUCCUCCUUCCUUUCCAGCAAUGAUUUCCUUUCAAGUGGAGACUGCCUUAUUUGCCUCUAAUUCCCAGGGCCUAGCAUAGUCUUGGGCACAUCUAAGAUGCUCAACAAAUGUUUAUUAAAUGACUAAAUGAAUAUUUCCAUCAAAGCACUACAAAAAUAAAUGCUGAAUAAAACAAAACCAGUUCAACCAAAAAAAAAAAUGCUGA
Long non-coding RNA from Lagenorhynchus albirostris (white-beaked dolphin), 1485 nucleotides. RefSeq lists it as uncharacterized. The record is from RefSeq and is a predicted model, not a curated record. The transcript is spliced from 3 exons. Lineage: Eukaryota; Metazoa; Chordata; Mammalia; Artiodactyla; Delphinidae.